AACAAGGUCUCCGUAGGUGAACCUGCGGAGGGAUCAUUACACAAAUAUGAAGGCGGGCUGGAACCUCUCGGGGUUACAGCCUUGCUGAAUUAUUCACCCUUGUCUUUUGCGUACUUCUUGUUUCCUUGGUGGGUUCGCCCACCACUAGGACAAACAUAAACCUUUUGUAAUUGCAAUCAGCGUCAGUAACAAAUUAAUAAUUACAACUUUCAACAACGGAUCUCUUGGUUCUGGCAUCGAUGAAGAACGCAGCGAAAUGCGAUAAGUAGUGUGAAUUGCAGAAUUCAGUGAAUCAUCGAAUCUUUGAACGCACAUUGCGCCCUUUGGUAUUCCAAAGGGCAUGCCUGUUCGAGCGUCAUUUGUACCCUCAAGCUUUGCUUGGUGUUGGGCGUCUUGUCUCUAGCUUUGCUGGAGACUCGCCUUAAAGUAAUUGGCAGCCGGCCUACUGGUUUCGGAGCGCAGCACAAGUCGCACUCUCUAUCAGCAAAGGUCUAGCAUCCAUUAAGCCUUUUUUUCAACUUUUGACCUCGGAUCAGGUAGGGAUACCCGCUGAACUUAAGCAUAUCAA
This 568-nucleotide ribosomal RNA is filed under the name Alternaria sp. MP23 ZW-2013. RNAcentral describes it as "eukaryotic LSU rRNA". The stretch from base 205 to 358 matches the Rfam family "5.8S ribosomal RNA". The record is from RNAcentral. Lineage: Eukaryota; Fungi; Ascomycota; Dothideomycetes; Pleosporales; Pleosporaceae.